CCCGCACAAGCGGUGGAGCAUGUGGUUUAAUCGAAGCAACGCGAAGUAACCUUACCAGGUCUUGACAUCCCGAUGCUAUUUCUAGAGAUAGAAAGUUACUUCGGUACAUCGGUGACAGGUGGUGCAUGGUUGUCGUCAGCUCGUGUCGUGAGAUGUUGGGUUAAGUCCCGCAACGAGCGCAACCCCUAUUGUUAGUUGCCAUCAUUCAGUUGGGCACUCUAGCGAGACUGCCGGUAAUAAACCGGAGGAAGGUGGGAUGACGUCAAAUCAUCAUGCCCCUUAUGACCUGGGCUACACACGUGCUACAAUGGUUGGUACAACGAGUUGCGAGUCGGUGACGGCGAGCUAAUCUCUUAAAGCCAAUCUCAGUUCGGAUUGUAGGCUGCAACUCGCCUACAUGAAGUCGGAAUCGCUAGUAAUCGCGGAUCAGCACGCCGCGGUGAAUACGUUCCCGGGCCUU
This 460-nucleotide ribosomal RNA is filed under the name uncultured Streptococcus sp. RNAcentral's name for it is "bacterial SSU rRNA". It matches the Rfam family "Bacterial small subunit ribosomal RNA", at positions 920 to 1382 of the family's 1533-position model. The record is from RNAcentral. Lineage: Bacteria; Bacillati; Bacillota; Bacilli; Lactobacillales; Streptococcaceae.